Molecule: ribosomal RNA, 253 nt
Filed under: uncultured bacterium
Lineage: Bacteria
Also listed under: 2 other names
Description: partial 16S ribosomal RNA
Rfam family: Bacterial small subunit ribosomal RNA
Source: RNAcentral
UACGGAGGAUCCAAGCGUUAUCCGGAUUUAUUGGGUUUAAAGGGUGCGUAGGCGGAAUAGUAAGUCAGUGGUGAAAGCCUGCAGCUUAACUGCAGAAUUGCCAUUGAUACUGCUAAUCUUGAAUGUAGAUGAAGUGGGCGGAAUGUGUCAUGUAGCGGUGAAAUGCUUAGAUAUGACACAGAACACCGAUUGCGAAGGCAGCUCACUAAACUAAUAUUGACGCUGAGGCACGAAAGCAUGGGGAGCAAACAGG